Molecule: long non-coding RNA, 383 nt
Organism: Armigeres subalbatus
Lineage: Eukaryota; Metazoa; Arthropoda; Insecta; Diptera; Culicidae
Exons: 3
Source: RefSeq, a predicted model, not a curated record
UAAUAUUCAUGUUUUGACCAGUUUGAAUUAAAAAUAUAAAAAGGAACAAAAACUUUUGCAUAUUAUUUUACUCGAAGAUUGGCUGGAUUUAUUUGAGCGUGUACGUUUUGUUUAUGAUUAGUGAAAUGAAAAAAUGAAACUGAUGUUGUGGUGCAGGAAGUGUCCCUUCAUAACGGGUUCUAGAAGUGGGCAAGCGGCGGAUCAUAGGCUGCUGUAUCGUGGAGGAAGUUUAUGGUAAGACCACGUAAGACAGAAUAUCGUUCGGCAGCUAUUAUUGGCUUAUCUUACCAAUUAGAAACAAUAAUAGCUGAUACAGGUUCACACAUAACCUGAUGUGUUAGAGACAACGACCAACUUCGAUUCACCCACUCAAAAAAACAAGU